GUACUCACUUUGGCAGCAUAUAUAUUAACAUUAAAAUGAGAAAGAGAUGACUAGCAUGGCCCCCGCACAAUGAUGACAAGCAAAUUUGUGAAGCAGUCCAUAUUUUU
Artibeus jamaicensis (Jamaican fruit-eating bat) is the source of this 107-nucleotide small nuclear RNA. The record is from RefSeq and is a predicted model, not a curated record. Lineage: Eukaryota; Metazoa; Chordata; Mammalia; Chiroptera; Phyllostomidae.